This 22-nucleotide unclassified non-coding RNA is filed under the name Dictyostelium discoideum. Lineage: Eukaryota; Evosea; Eumycetozoa; Dictyosteliales; Dictyosteliaceae. The record is from RNAcentral.
UUCCGAUUUCAAUUCCAGAGGU